RNAcentral lists this ribosomal RNA (468 nucleotides) under uncultured bacterium. RNAcentral describes it as "partial 16S ribosomal RNA". It matches the Rfam family "Bacterial small subunit ribosomal RNA", at positions 28 to 507 of the family's 1533-position model. The record is from RNAcentral.
GAUGAACGCUGGCGGCGUGCUUAACACAUGCAAGUCGAACGGAAAGGCUCCUGCUUGCAGGGGUACUCGAGUGGCGAACGGGUGAGUAACACGUGGGUGAUCUGCCCUGUACUUCGGGAUAAGCUUGGGAAACUGGGUCUAAUACCGGAUAGGACAACUUUUUGGAUAUUGUUGUGGAAAGCUUUUGCGGUAUGGGAUGAGCUCGCGGCCUAUCAGCUUGUUGGUGGGGUAAUGGCCUACCAAGGCGUCGACGGGUAGCCGGCCUGAGAGGGUGUACGGCCACAGUGGGACUGAGAUACGGCCCAGACUCCUACGGGAGGCAGCAGUGGGGAAUAUUGCACAAUGGGCGCAAGCCUGAUGCAGCGACGCCGCGUGGGGGAUGAAGGCCUUCGGGUUGUAAACUCCUUUCGCUAGGGACGAAGCUUUUUUGUGACGGUACCUGGAGAAGAAGCACCGGCUAACUACGUG